GUGCUCGCUUUGGCAGCACAUCUACUAAAAUUGGAACGAUACAGAGAAGAUUAGCAUGGCCCCUGCACAAGGAUGACAUGCAAAUUCAUGAAGCGUUCCAUAUUUUU
Equus caballus (horse) is the source of this 107-nucleotide small nuclear RNA. NCBI's taxonomy places the organism in Eukaryota, Metazoa, Chordata, Mammalia, Perissodactyla, Equidae. The record is from Ensembl.